CAAGUACUCCCUCCGUCCCGAAUUAACUGACGUAGAUUUGUAUAAGAAUCUAUAAAAAUCCACGUCAGUUAAUUCAGGACGGAGGGAGUACUAU
Molecule: non-coding RNA, 94 nt
Organism: Brachypodium distachyon (stiff brome)
Lineage: Eukaryota; Viridiplantae; Streptophyta; Magnoliopsida; Poales; Poaceae
Source: Rfam